Molecule: non-coding RNA, 125 nt
Organism: Triticum aestivum (bread wheat)
Lineage: Eukaryota; Viridiplantae; Streptophyta; Magnoliopsida; Poales; Poaceae
Source: Rfam
AAUAUACUCACUCCAUUUGGAAAUACUUGUCAGAGAAAUGCAUGUAUUUAGAUGUAUUUUAGUUCUAGAUACAUCCAUUUUUAUUCAUUUCUGCGACAAGUAAUUUCGGACGGAGGGAGUACAUG